RNAcentral lists this non-coding RNA (165 nucleotides) under Thalassiosira gravida. Lineage: Eukaryota; Bacillariophyta; Thalassiosirophyceae; Thalassiosirales; Thalassiosiraceae. The record is from RNAcentral.
AAGGUGGCCGUUUGUGAUGUGAGCAUUGUGAUGGGGCCGGAUGGGCGGAGUAGGGGGUUUGCGUUUGUUUCGUUUUAUAAUGAGGUGGAUGGGAAGGCCGGAUUGGCGUGUAAUGGGCUGGAGUGCAAUGGGAGGGAGUUGGCGGUGAGGGAACCUAACAACUAA